CGAGACAGAAGAGCUGGCGCUGCCCAACACUCCAGUUAUCGCCAUCAUCACUCACUGCCAUAGGCCAGAGUGAGAAAUCAUUUUAACCUUCCGGAACAUCUUUUUCUCACCUCCCAUAUCUCAUCAUCGGAAUGCUGACCAAGGGGGUCCAAAUUAUUGCGCACAGUCCCUCUAAAAAGUGAUCAACGAGACGGAAGAGUGAGCUGAUAAGUGUUGAUUUCCCGCUUCCUGUCCUCCCGACAACCCCAAUUCUGUUUCCAGCAGGGAAGGUGC
Molecule: long non-coding RNA, 273 nt
Organism: Hordeum vulgare subsp. vulgare (domesticated barley)
Lineage: Eukaryota; Viridiplantae; Streptophyta; Magnoliopsida; Poales; Poaceae
Exons: 3
Source: RefSeq, a predicted model, not a curated record